This 542-nucleotide ribosomal RNA is filed under the name uncultured bacterium. RNAcentral describes it as "bacterial SSU rRNA". It matches the Rfam family "Bacterial small subunit ribosomal RNA", at positions 119 to 674 of the family's 1533-position model. The record is from RNAcentral.
GAGCAACCUGCCCUGGACUCUGGGAUAAGCGCUGGAAACGGCGUCUAAUACUGGAUAUGAGACGUGAUCGCAUGGUCAACGUUUGGAAGGAUUUUUCGGUCUGGGAUGGGCUCGCGGCCUAUCAGCUUGUUGGUGAGGUAAUGGCUCACCAAGGCGUCGACGGGUAGCCGGCCUGAGAGGGUGACCGGCCACACUGGGACUGAGACACGGCCCAGACUCCUACGGGAGGCAGCAGUGGGGAAUAUUGCACAAUGGGCGGAAGCCUGAUGCAGCAACGCCGCGUGAGGGAUGACGGCCUUCGGGUUGUAAACCUCUUUUAGCAGGGAAGAAGCGAAAGUGACGGUACCUGCAGAAAAAGCGCCGGCUAACUACGUGCCAGCAGCCGCGGUAAUACGUAGGGCGCAAGCGUUAUCCGGAAUUAUUGGGCGUAAAGAGCUCGUAGGCGGUUUGUCGCGUCUGCUGUGAAAUCCCGAGGCUCAACCUCGGGCCUGCAGUGGGUACGGGCAGACUAGAGUGCGGUAGGGGAGAUUGGAAUUCCUGGU